GGGGUGUAGCUCAGUCUGGUUAGAGCGCCGGCCUGUCACGCCGGAGGCCGCGGGUUCGAGUCCCGUCACUCC
This 72-nucleotide transfer RNA is filed under the name marine eukaryotic metagenome. It matches the Rfam family "tRNA". From Rfam's summary of the family: Transfer RNA (tRNA) molecules are approximately 80 nucleotides in length. Their secondary structure includes four short double-helical elements and three loops (D, anti-codon, and T loops). The record is from RNAcentral.